CGGACACGUCCCCCCCCCGCCGCCUAUGGGUCUUAUCAACAUCAGUGAAUGAUUGUGAGAUCAUUAAUUGCAACAAUAAUUGCCUGCAUGAUGACAGCAACAUAUCCUGUUUAAUUUAGCCUUGAUUAUACCACAGACUUAAAAUCACAUAUUUAUCAACAUAAAAAAAACCUAAUGAACAAUACCUAUUUUGAAGAAUAAUCUGGUUUAUUGUGCCUUGUUUGUGAUUUGCUCUGCUCAUUUCGAUUAUCAACUUUACAUUUGUUGUUUUUCUUAAGUUUUUAAAGAAUCUUCAUUUUAUUGUUUCCCCUCUGUAAUAGAAAUUGUAAUAUUGAGCUCAAUAGAAAGCUGCCCCCCCCCUCCCCAUUCUCGGUCACACGACUCUCGUUUAGAAAUUGAAGGAAAAAAAAACUGUUCACGCAGAGCAGGCAAGGCGCGCACACAGUACAGUGAGUGAGUGAAUCUGUGAAUGAAAUUUGCAUAUGAAUAGAAGCGAUCAAGCCUAAUCUGGGCAGUGGAUUAGAGGUGGAUAAUUUGCAUAAGAAUAGUCUAGACCGUGACAGCGCAGGCACGAGUUAAGCAUAGUAUAAAUAAAUUAGAAAUGUUUUCGGUCAAUCGUUGUAAUCUUAUACUACUACACUCGUUGAAAUAUAUCGUUUGUUUGGUUUAGUUCACAGUUCCAUUAUUAAGUUUCAAUAUAAUAGUGGAAUAUCUACCCCGGUAUCUACCUCAUUAGUCUUAUUUACUAGACUAAGCCAAAGGUGGCACGCGCUUUAUCACGAUCGAACUAUAAUUCAGUCAACAUGCAUGACGUAUCUCGCUACCAGCUGUUUCUCGUUAAUUGUGCACAUAAUUAUAUGAGAUCGGAGGAGGGCUCUCAGCCGGCCAGCCGCCCCGGAACCAACUCGCCGCAUGACGGUCCAAGCCGGUGGCAGGAACAGUGACUGGGCAGCAACCAGCUAGAUGACAAAGACAGUUUUGAUAACGUUUAGUGAUGGCAAUCAAACAACUGGCAAGUUCCGUCAAAUAGAUUUUGAGAAAGUCGCAGAUACUUUGGGGAAACCUGAAGAGGGGCUCCAGGACAUUUUGUCCACUGUGAAGGCCAUCACAGAGGACCUCUUUUAUAAUUAUUAGGACAGUAAGGACUCUGAAACUUCUUCGUUUACCGAUAGUUCAACCAGUCUUGAGAGUGAAGCAAGGGAGCCGCGGAAAAAGAAAGGAAUCUCUUAGGGGUAAUUGGCCUACUAGAAAACGAAUGGGGGUAUAAACUAUCAUAACCUACUUGCUAAGUGGAAUAAAAUAAAUACUUUAAACUUUGAUUUUAAUAGGCAUUGUAUGUCAUAAUUGAUACCUAACGAUGUAUAAAAUAACUGGUUUCAAUGUCCAGGUAUAAUGUUCUACCACAAACUAUCUAAUUUAAUAUUUCAUACUGACAACCGUAAGUACAUUAAAGAGUAUCAUACGGCC
Molecule: long non-coding RNA, 1467 nt
Organism: Lytechinus variegatus (green sea urchin)
Lineage: Eukaryota; Metazoa; Echinodermata; Echinoidea; Temnopleuroida; Toxopneustidae
Exons: 2
Source: RefSeq, a predicted model, not a curated record